RNAcentral lists this ribosomal RNA (253 nucleotides) under uncultured bacterium. RNAcentral's name for it is "partial 16S ribosomal RNA". It matches the Rfam family "Bacterial small subunit ribosomal RNA", at positions 524 to 776 of the family's 1533-position model. The record is from RNAcentral.
UGCGUAGGCAGCAAGCGUUGUUCGGAGUUACUGGGCGUAAAGAGUGCGUAGGCGGUCCUGUAAGUUUGGUGUGAAAUCUCCCGGCUCAACUGGGAGGGUGCGCCGAAGACUGCAGGGCUUGAGUAUGGGAGAGGUAAGCGGAAUUCCUGGUGUAGCGGUGAAAUGCGUAGAUAUCAGGAGGAACACCUGUGGUGUAGACAGCUUACUGGACCAUAACUGACGCUGAGGCACGAAAGCGUGGGGAGCAAACAGG